CCACACCCAGAGAGCUUCUUCCUCUGCUUCUGCCAGGGAGACAGGGGGUGCCAUCCAGAUCUCCUGCUCACAUCCAGCUGCUGCUGGCCAUGGCCAUUCCUGAAGGGAGAGCAUAAACGAAGGAGAGCAAAUUCUUCUGCAGAUAGUUCCUGUGUACUUUGGCUGAAUCCCUUAAGCUCCCUGGUGCUGCUGAUAUCCAUCUGCAGGAUGGGAGUAAGUGGAUGCAGAAUCUGCAAGCUGCUGUGAGGAUGCUCAUGCUGAGAUCCCAAGGAACGCAGUUGCCAUGGGGUGAGAUGAAUGUAAGUGUGCAAGAGCACUUGCUCUAAGUGCAGCUUUCUCUACAGAAACACCAGACAUAACUUUCCUCAAAAAAUCCCAGAGGGAAAUCCUUACAGGAGGAGCAAGUGCAAAUGUGGGAACUGGUUUGGGUCUACAACUUAAAUAAGCACUGCCAAGGAAAUCCAAGCUUCAGAGUUUCGCACUUCACCGUGAGAAAUUUCAGCUGCUGUCAUCACGGAUGCUGACCCUCUCCCUUGGGUACCCUCCACAGCAAAGACUAAGGCAACAUGUCACACCCCUAGCCCAGACUUUUAGCUCUCUAGGGCAGGUAAUUCUUAUUUUUAUGCCUUCUGGAAAAAUUAGAAAAAUAAGAAGGAAACAAUGUUCCUCUGGCUAUAUGGUUGCUCUCACUUAUUUUCUGAAGCCAUGGCAGGAAAAUCUACACGUGCCAGGAGAACAUACUUCAAAUCCUGUCUGCAUGGAAAACUUCACAUUCUCUUUUGCAGCACUAAUGCUGCUUCACUAAACAAUCCAUGGAGCAAAGGCUAGAGCAGAGAUGAUAUUUUUGCCUUUUUAGUGUAGACAUUGAUAUACAUCUUGAAGGAAUGCUGGACAGUAAGUAGUAAGAAACUAUUAGUAGUAAGAAACUAGAAGGGUGACACCCUCUAGCAGGACCCAAACAGGCAUCUCAGAUAUAGGCAGUUUUCUAAGCUUUGUGAAAUAUGAAAACAUCUACAAUUAUCUUCAGUAUCCUUAAAAAUGUGAUGGUUUUCCAGAUGCUACUUCCUACGCAAUUCUGGUGCUGAUAAAACUCUCACAGGCACUUAAGAACCCCCAGUGCGGGAUAUCCCAUGGCCCUGGGACAUCCAAAACUCCUGUCACAAAACUGGGGCUGGCUCAGUGGGGUGGGAUGGGGGGAUUACUCUGAGAAGCAUCAAUUUCCCCAGCCUGCUUUCCUACAGCUUCAUGCUUUACAUUGAAGACUCUGGUUCCUAAAGAGCCCCAGGUAUUUCACAGGGCUGAUGACUGUCCCUAGCCUGCUCUGCGGUGCGAGGGCUGCAUGGUGCGCGUGGGCGGCGAGAGGCUGAGGGAAGCCUGUGGGACCUGACGUGUCUCCCUCAGCUGGCGUGAGAACAGCCACGCUCACUUGCAGUCAUGAAACGUGCAGAAAUGUGUGUAUCUUUCAGACAUGUACCCUCUGCUAACUUCAAAAGCCACUGCUGGGGGUGGGGGGCACUGACAGACACGAACACCAUAAUUGCACACGUCUUGCUUCCUGCCUUAGGAAAACAGAAAGAAAACUCCAUUGGAAAAUAAAAAAAAUGAAAAAUACAGCAUGCUUCCAGACACUGCCAGCACUCUGCAAGGGCAAGGCCAGCUUCAGUGGCAGACAGCAUCGCAGGCAGCAGCCACCUGCCCACCCUGGCCCAGCCACCCGUGCCUCUCGCAUCCCUGUCUCCGGAAUCACCUGCUAUGGUUGUCACAGCAACACCUGGUCAUGGUGGGGCACUGGUGUGGCCAGUCCAGGCCUUGACCCACCCAGGAUUUGCAGGAAAUGGGAAUUUCUGGUCUCAGGGUUGCUGGUGGUGGUUGAGGACCAGUAAGCCCAGAUGUGCCAAUCUUGGCGCUCAGCCAGUACUGACCCUACAAAACCUGUAUCCUGAAACUGGGUGAAAUGGGAGCAGGUUUUAUAUGGGAGCAGGUUUUAUAUGGAUGAUGUUAUCCUAAUCGUAAAGAAAUACUACCGUCUUGUUCCCACGUGUUUCCGUGCCAAGGCUAUAGAGGAAGGGGCAAAAACUAUGUGCGAUCCUGUUUUCUUCACACCUUGCAGCCACCUCUCCCUCACCAGGUCUGUGGACCUGUCCCAUGCAGUCCCAGGUCAGCCGGGGAAGGGAAAGGGAAGGGAAAGGGCCAUCGGCCAACACACCACCUUGAGCCUGCAGAGCCGGGCAGGGCGGGAUCGGGAUCAGGCCUGGCCGCCAGUCAUUGCCAGGCAACUACGUAAAUAGGCAGGACAACAUUUCGACACCAGGCGUGUCCGUCCCCAGCGUUUACCCCUAACCCCUCCUGAUUUAAAAAAAAAAAAAAAAGAACAAGAACCAGCAAACAAAACAAACUGCAGCGAAAUGGCUGAAACAUGUUGUAACCAUCUGUGAAAGUCGGGCUCUCUCAUGACCCGCGAGAGGGGGGAGAAAGCGAGCGAGACAGCGAUUUGAGGGGGGAAAAGAAGCCCCAGCGGGAACCAGGCGUGGGUCAGCAGCUGAGGGCAAAGAGGGGUCGAGAGAGGCGGCACCUCUGACACUUCUUACCUUGUGGGCGAGGGAGGUUCGCGCUGGGCUGCCCCAGGAGAGCGAGAGGGCUGCGCGCCUCCCGCGCUCCCCGCCGCGCCCGGGGCUCCUUCCUCAGCCGGCCGGGCGGCUUUCCCUCCUUUUACGACAGCCUCCCUGCCUCUCCCAGGUAAGCGGCAGAACUGGCUCUGCAGCAGGAAGUGGAAGAGGCAGGCACGGCUCGGCGCGGUGGCGGGAGAGCCUCUGUGGGGGAGUGACACUUGGAGGCUCACGGCUCCCCGGCCAUGCCCGCCGCCUCUCCCGGGGGAAGCCGGGCGGCCUCUGCGUGAGCGCAGCGGAUAAAUAACUCAGGGGGAAGCCCGGUGUGAAUCCUAAACGGUGUGCCUCGUCGAGAAAGUCAUCCCUUGCUUUCAGCCCUCGGUCGCUUAUUGUCGGUGCCAAAUGUUAAAUCAGCUGUGAUUCAGACUACUGAAGACAAUCACAUGAUGCUUGUAAGAACUAUAUAAAGAACAUCGAAAAAAGGA
Haemorhous mexicanus (house finch) is the source of this 3091-nucleotide long non-coding RNA. RefSeq lists it as uncharacterized. The transcript has 2 exons. The record is from RefSeq and is a predicted model, not a curated record. NCBI's taxonomy places the organism in Eukaryota, Metazoa, Chordata, Aves, Passeriformes, Fringillidae.